ACAUGACAAAAAGUGAAAAUCUUGAAAAUACCACAUUUAUAAAAGUGAAUUCAUCUUUCAAAGAAAGCUUCUAACAUUCUUAGGCGGAAAUUUCAAGCUAGGAAAAGUACGGAUAUUACAAAGCCCUUUUAUUUUAUAGGGGAAAUUUACUCCUAGUUUUUGAGUAAAAGAUAAAUACUUCAAAUCUUGAUAGAUAUCAACUAGAUCUUGAUAGAUAUUGAUAGACAUUCACUACAACUAAUACACAUUAAUAUCAUAACACCCCCCCCCCCUGAAUGUCUAACAAUACACAUAUCCGUUGUCUCAUUAAAAAACUUAC
RNAcentral lists this long non-coding RNA (319 nucleotides) under Capsicum annuum. Its description in RNAcentral is "long non-coding RNA (CANN_LNC005549)". Lineage: Eukaryota; Viridiplantae; Streptophyta; Magnoliopsida; Solanales; Solanaceae. The record is from RNAcentral.